This 317-nucleotide non-coding RNA is filed under the name uncultured Mallomonas. Lineage: Eukaryota; Synurophyceae; Synurales; Mallomonadaceae. The record is from RNAcentral.
GAAUGUAGCCAAUAAUAUAAAAGGAAACCCAAUAGCAAAGCCUGUAUAGCUCUGCCAAAGAAUUUCUCUGAUGUUGUAAAAUAGUAUUCUUACUCUUAUCAUAAGAUAUUAUUUUUGUUUUUUUUUUCAUAAACAUCGCAUACGAUUUAUUUGAUUUCUUUUUUCUAUUAAAUUUUUGUUGCUAUGAGUGUGAGUGUGUGAUGCUGUUAUCAAAAGACUUGUUAAAAAAAACGAAAGUAAGUUGAUUAUCUUGAUUCCGUUUUUUUCUUAAGCUUUUAAUACGAUUAAAUUACGUUUAAAAAAAAAAAAAAAUUUAA